This 113-nucleotide microRNA precursor is filed under the name Glycine max (soybean). RNAcentral's name for it is "miR9737 stem-loop (gma-MIR9737)". Lineage: Eukaryota; Viridiplantae; Streptophyta; Magnoliopsida; Fabales; Fabaceae. The record is from miRBase by way of RNAcentral.
UGACGUUGUGGCUGAAAUCACUGUUGCAGACCCUUUUUUAUAACCUUGAGGGUAUAAGAGUCAUCAUAAUUUUAGAAAAUGGCCUGCUACUAUGAUUUCAGCAGCAAUGUCAA